RNAcentral lists this transfer RNA (67 nucleotides) under Marmota monax (woodchuck). Its description in RNAcentral is "tRNA.Ala". It matches the Rfam family "tRNA". From Rfam's summary of the family: Transfer RNA (tRNA) molecules are approximately 80 nucleotides in length. The record is from RNAcentral. Lineage: Eukaryota; Metazoa; Chordata; Mammalia; Rodentia; Sciuridae.
GGUUGUGGCUCAGCGGUAGAGCACUUGCUUAGCAUGUGUGAGGCCCUGGGUUCGAUCCUCAGCACCA